Molecule: long non-coding RNA, 1314 nt
Filed under: Gossypium barbadense (sea-island cotton)
Lineage: Eukaryota; Viridiplantae; Streptophyta; Magnoliopsida; Malvales; Malvaceae
Description: long non-coding RNA (GBAR_LNC017042)
Source: RNAcentral
AUUUUCUAAACUAAUUUUUUUCAACAAACAAAUAAAACUUUAAAGAAAAUGGUAUGAUUAAACACCCUAAAUCUUCUAACUAAUUUCUGGUAAGUUUAUUUUUAUCUCCAGCAUCAAUAAUUGUUUUCCUUUUUUUUUUUUCUAGCUUCGUUGUUUUUGGUUGUUAGUUGCCUCUAGAAAGGGGCUUCGUGCCUCCUUCCAAUUGAGGAAUGUGGGUGGUCGUGGCCCCUUAGGUUUCCCUCUGAGAUCCAAUCAUUUACCAUCCCGCCUAUCGUUUUCAGUUUUUUCAAAUAUAAUAACACGUCAUUGCUGGUCUUUUGGUCAUCAGAAAUGCAUUUUGCUUCCCCCUCAGUCAUGGGUGUUGUUCAAAAUUUUUCUAUUGCAGUUGUUGCUGUAGCCAAUCCUGUGCUUGUUGAAGGCGCCAUUGUUGGCGGAUUUGGUGCCUAUAGGGUCAUUUUGACCUUGACGAGUCUUGAUUGAUUUUCUUUGGGCUCCUUUUACAUCACCACAAGGGAGAGGGCUUUGGUCUAGUGCCCUAUUGCAUCAUAAUAACUUUACUCACAUGAGUCUUCCCUGACCCCCACGUUAUCCGAUUCAAGUGAAGGUUGUUUUAGGAUUUCUGACCUCUUGAACCCUAAAUGUAGAAGAUUCUUAUUAAACCACCGUGUGAAAAACAAGGUUCUUCAACAAUGAUGUUUUGAAGGAAUCAAAGAAAGGUAAGGUAUAUUGGAUUCUCCGAAAAAUAAAAAAUAUAUAUUUACCAAUCGUUUUUGAGUGACUUGUGAGUCACGGCGGGGUGAGAGUAACACCUUUUUUCACCCCAAAAAGACAAAGGUUUCAGCCUUCACGUGAGUCCAUCAAAGUUGAAAUUUCCUUUUAGACGACACAGCGCAUUCCAUUACGCCAUCUGCAAUGUCGUUUGUCCACCAAACACUCCACCUUUCUUUCUUUCGCCAAAAUACAAUAUUUAACCAGACUUUGAUUCUGUCCUCAGUUGUUGAGAAUUUUAGAUGGCUUCUUCCAUCACCUAUUUAUGAAAUUCAGGCUUAAACGUAAGGUUAGAAGUUUUGAAAAUUAAAUUAUUAUUUCUUUUUAAAUUUCAUAUUUAGUUUUAGGACCCUUUGGAUGGACAUUUACUUUCAGUGUAAUGCAUUUAGCUUUUUUUUUCACGCUACAAUAUAUCACAUUAUUUUUACACUAAUCACAGGUAAACACACUAUUCAUUCAAAGAGGCCCUUAAUCUACUUUUUUAGUCCAUGUUUAAAUGUUCGCUUUUUGCUAAGUAACUUUGAUUUUGGUUGUAAUUGAUAGAAC